UGUAGUGUGUUGUGUUGGUGUGCGUGUGGUGAAAUAUAGUUCAUAGCUGCAAGAAAACAUAUAGAAUUGGACAAUGUUUAAAAUCUCUUUUACCCUUCAACUUGACCCGAACAGUAUCUAUGUAAAAAGUAGAC
This is a long non-coding RNA of Xiphophorus couchianus (Monterrey platyfish), 134 nucleotides long. RefSeq lists it as uncharacterized. The record is from RefSeq and is a predicted model, not a curated record. NCBI's taxonomy places the organism in Eukaryota, Metazoa, Chordata, Actinopteri, Cyprinodontiformes, Poeciliidae. The transcript has 3 exons.